RNAcentral lists this ribosomal RNA (436 nucleotides) under uncultured Oscillibacter sp. RNAcentral's name for it is "partial 16S ribosomal RNA". It matches the Rfam family "Bacterial small subunit ribosomal RNA", at positions 341 to 792 of the family's 1533-position model. Lineage: Bacteria; Bacillati; Bacillota; Clostridia; Eubacteriales; Oscillospiraceae. The record is from RNAcentral.
ACGGGAGGCAGCAGUGGGGAAUAUUGGGCAAUGGGCGCAAGCCUGACCCAGCAACGCCGCGUGAAGGAAGAAGGCUUUCGGGUUGUAAACUUCUUUUGUGAGGGACGAGCAGAAGACGGUACCUCAUGAAUAAGCCACGGCUAACUACGUGCCAGCAGCCGCGGUAAUACGUAGGUGGCAAGCGUUGUCCGGAUUUACUGGGUGUAAAGGGCGUGUAGCCGGGUCGGCAAGUCAGAUGUGAAAUCCACGGGCUUAACUCGUGAACUGCAUUUGAAACUGUUGAUCUUGAGUAUCGGAGAGGCAAUCGGAAUUCCUAGUGUAGCGGUGAAAUGCGUAGAUAUUAGGAGGAACACCAGUGGCGAAGGCGGCUUUCUGGAUUGUAACUGACACUGAGGCACGAAAGUGUGGGGAGCAAACAGGAUUAGAUACCCUGGUA